This 72-nucleotide transfer RNA is filed under the name Pheidole smythiesii. Its description in RNAcentral is "tRNA-His". Lineage: Eukaryota; Metazoa; Arthropoda; Insecta; Hymenoptera; Formicidae. The record is from RNAcentral.
AUUUAAGUAGUUUAAGUUAGAACAUUAAUUUGUGGAAUUAAAAGUAUAAUUAAAGUAAGAUUAUUUUAAAUU